Molecule: non-coding RNA, 88 nt
Filed under: Anaerococcus lactolyticus
Lineage: Bacteria; Bacillati; Bacillota; Tissierellia; Tissierellales; Peptoniphilaceae
Also listed under: 1 other name
Description: TPP sequence
Rfam family: TPP riboswitch aptamer (THI element)
About the family: Vitamin B(1) in its active form thiamin pyrophosphate (TPP) is an essential coenzyme that is synthesised by coupling of pyrimidine and thiazole moieties in bacteria. The previously detected thiamin-regulatory element, thi box was extended, resulting in a new, highly conserved RNA secondary structure, the THI element, which is widely distributed in eubacteria and also occurs in some archaea. Analysis of operon structures identified a large number of new candidate thiamin-regulated genes, mostly transporters, in various prokaryotic organisms.
Source: RNAcentral
CUUUUAUAUUCGGGGUGCCAAGUGCUGAGAUUAUACCCGCUAACCUGAUAAACUUAGUAGUUUCGUAGGGAAAUAAAAAGCGAUUUCA